GGGCCGUUAGCUCAGUUGGUUAGAGCAGAGGACUCAUAAUCCUUUGGUCGUUGGUUCGAUCCCAACACGGCCUACCA
RNAcentral lists this transfer RNA (77 nucleotides) under Burkholderiaceae bacterium. RNAcentral describes it as "tRNA-Ile". It matches the Rfam family "tRNA". Rfam says of the family: Transfer RNA (tRNA) molecules are approximately 80 nucleotides in length. Their secondary structure includes four short double-helical elements and three loops (D, anti-codon, and T loops). Further hydrogen bonds mediate the characteristic L-shaped molecular structure. tRNAs have two regions of fundamental functional importance: the anti-codon, which is responsible for specific mRNA codon recognition, and the 3' end, to which the tRNAs corresponding amino acid is attached (by aminoacyl-tRNA synthetases). tRNAs cope with the degeneracy of the genetic code in two manners: having more than one tRNA (with a specific anti-codon) for a particular amino acid; and 'wobble' base-pairing, i.e. permitting non-standard base-pairing at the 3rd anti-codon position. Lineage: Bacteria; Pseudomonadati; Pseudomonadota; Betaproteobacteria; Burkholderiales; Burkholderiaceae. RNAcentral also lists the same sequence under 5 other names. The record is from RNAcentral.